AAACUCUUCCUAGGGUUCUUUCUAGAGUACGGCAAGUUGUCAAAUUCCCUAGUUGAAUUUGCUUUGGACAUCAGUGUGAAGCAGAACUGAUAUGCCACUUGAAUUAAUAAAGGAAGUCAAUGGGGUGCCUGAAGUUCAGCCACUGAGUAAAUUACAUAAAGUAGAUUUCGGAUCCCUACAGCCAGGUUACAAUUAUAGCAAGAAAUAUAUUCAGGGAAAACUUUCACUUAUCUCUUCUUUAACUUAUCGUGGAAAUAAAACAGCUGUUUUGCAGAUUGGACUACAAGGACACCAUUGCAGUGGCUAGAUUUAUUGUUUUUUUAGCUUCUUCAUCUACAAGCAGAGAUGGUAAACCUUGCAUAUUUUUGAAAGCAUUUGAAGACCUCAAAUCAACUGUUUAUGUUUAUGUCAAAUCUUUAAGAGAUUUUUCUACAGAAUCAAUGUCUUUGAUGCUCCUUGAUUUACAAUGAAGUUACAUCCAGUGUACCCAUCAUAAGUCAAAAAUUUCAUUAAUACAAAAUGUAUUAAAUUGCCUAAUAGACCCAUUCUAAAGUCAGAAGAUUGUUCCAG
This 570-nucleotide small RNA is filed under the name Pan troglodytes (chimpanzee). RNAcentral's name for it is "processed transcript". The record is from RNAcentral. Lineage: Eukaryota; Metazoa; Chordata; Mammalia; Primates; Hominidae.